Molecule: ribosomal RNA, 429 nt
Filed under: uncultured bacterium
Lineage: Bacteria
Description: bacterial SSU rRNA
Rfam family: Bacterial small subunit ribosomal RNA
Source: RNAcentral
UGGGGAAUUUUGGACAAUGGGGGCAACCCUGAUCCAGCCAUGCCGCGUGCGGGAAGAAGGCCUUCGGGUUGUAAACCGCUUUUGUUCGGGAAGAAAAGGCACUUCUUAAUACGGGGUGUUCUUGACGGUACCGGAAGAAUAAGCACCGGCUAACUACGUGCCAGCAGCCGCGGUAAUACGUAGGGUGCGAGCGUUAAUCGGAAUUACUGGGCGUAAAGCGUGCGCAGGCGGUUCGUUAAGUCUGAUGUGAAAGCCCCGGGCUCAACCUGGGAAUGGCAUUGGAAACUGGCGAGCUGGAGUGUGGCAGAGGGGGGUGGAAUUCCACGUGUAGCAGUGAAAUGCGUAGAGAUGUGGAGGAACACCGAUGGCGAAGGCAGCCCCCUGGGCUAACACUGACGCUCAGGCACGAAAGCGUGGGGAGCAAACAGG